This is a long non-coding RNA of Saccostrea echinata, 293 nucleotides long. RefSeq lists it as uncharacterized. NCBI's taxonomy places the organism in Eukaryota, Metazoa, Mollusca, Bivalvia, Ostreida, Ostreidae. The record is from RefSeq and is a predicted model, not a curated record. The transcript has 3 exons.
CCAACAUUUGGUGAAAAGUGCAAGUCAAAAUGUUAUUGUUCUAAUGAACUCUGCCAUCAUGCAUACGGCUGCAAGACAAAUUCAGUUGGGUGUAAAUCUGGAAUGUAUGGUGCUUAUUGUGAGAAGAUUUGCCGAUACCCUAGCUACGGAAAAAAAUGUCAACUAUAUUGCAACUGUACCGAGGAACAUUGUAAUCCCUCUAAAGGAUGUAAAGCAAUAUAUUCAAGAGGCCCCAGUCAUAUGCUCGGAAACUCAAAUGCAGUAGAGGAUCAUCUAUCUGACACAGCCACGGG